GGACGGACAGUCGGCAGGCCCCUCUCCUCCAGGAAGCGCAGCCUGAUUCACAGCUGUCUGUGAGUGCGUGCGUCCCCAGUACACGUACACGAGCUGCAUGACAGCGCGAUGCCUCAAGGCCACCACGUUCGGCCUCAUCUGAACCCGCGACCUUCGACACAUACACAGACCCCAGAGGCAUUGGGCCUGCGGCUUAGCCUUGGAAGACAAAAGGUUCCUAUGGCCACGGAAGUGCAUACGCCCCCUACGCAGCCGGAGUAUAUGACCUUUGAGGAUGUGGCCGUGUACUUCUCGAGGGACGAAUGGGACCUCCUUGAUGAAGAUCAGAAACUCCUGUACUGCGACGUGAUGCUGGAGAACCUCGCGCUCAUGACCUCUCUGGGUAAGGCCCUCACGUCUGCCCCAGUGCCUUGGGUGAGGCGUUGCCUUUGCUCUCUUCCCCAGACACAGCUGCAGCCUCACAUGGGGACCCUAGGGACUGCCCCAAUUUUCUUUUUCUUUAUUUUGAGCAGGGUGAUAGAUGUAGGCUCACUGUUUUCUAGGACAGAGCUAUUGUACUGUCCUACCAUUUCCCCAAGCACCCCCAGUAGCUGCUGCCCCAAAACCUUUCAGUGUAGGGGGUCAGGAGUCUUGCAGUUGGAUUUUUGGAUGCCACGUUUCUCUCCCUGGCCAGGUGACCCCUCCAUCCCAGGUUCCACUCCCUUCCUCGAGCUGGCGUAAACACGUCUGCUUGAGUCAAGAAUGGCCAUCAGCAACAUGGUCACUCUUUGUGUCCUUCAAUGAGACUCCCUUUGUAAUAUUUGUUUUAAGAUUUUUUUUUAUUUAUUUGAAAGAGUUAAAGAGAGGCAGAGAGAGAGAGAGAUCUUCCAUCCACUGGUUCACUCCCCAGAUGGCCGCAAUGGCCAGAGCUGGGCCGAUCUGAAGCCAGGAGCUUCUUCCAGGUCUCCCACAAGGGUACAGGGGCCCAAGGACCUGGGCCAUCUUCCACUGCAUUCCCAGGCCAUAGCAGGGAGCUAGAUGGGAAGUGGAGCAGCCGGGACUCGAACCGGUGCCCAGAUGGGAUGCCGGCACUGCAGAUGGCUGCUUUACUCACUAUGCCACAGUGCCGGUCCCCCCUUUUCCCACUCUUGACACUUUGUCAGUUUGUCAUUUUUGUGAUUUUUGGCCUGGGGCUAAUCCUGAGCUCCCUUGGUCCCACAUCUCCUCCAUAUCUGCCCACUGCUCCCUCUCACAGUUUCCCCCCGCACGGGCUCACACAUACUGUGCUAUGAGAUGCACACAUAUCCGUAAGGUAUCUUUGAACGUGAGCUCCUGUGUUUGGAAGUUGGGUUUCCUCGGGCCUACAGUCUUCUACACAGCCACCCACGUGUCAACACAAGUUCUGCAGACCUCUGACAGGGGGUCAGCAUAGACCCUGCGGCUCCUCUUCGUGCUGCGCUCCGUCCUCUGUGCUCUGCCCGCUGAGGCUUGUCCCGAGCUGUGACUCUUGGAAGACCAUCACCGAAGGGCAGCUGCUUCCUCAACCUCACCCAGGCCUCCUCCUCCUGAAAACAGUCCCACGAGCUCACACGGACCUGUUCACUGGUGCACAGACGGACACUGGGAGGCCGCUGCACCCUCUCGUUCAAGUCCACAUGCACCUCACUGCAUUUCUUUGCUUUCAGGUUACUGGUGUGGAGCGGAAGACGAGGGAGCGCCGGAGCAGAGCGUUUCUGUGGAA
Long non-coding RNA from Oryctolagus cuniculus (rabbit), 1720 nucleotides. The record is from Ensembl. NCBI's taxonomy places the organism in Eukaryota, Metazoa, Chordata, Mammalia, Lagomorpha, Leporidae.